AUGAGAAACAGUCAAAAACAUCACAUUAUAAAGUCAAAAUCACUCAAAGAAAAUCAAUACAUUUCAUUAUAACAUCAAAUCAUCUAAGAGAAGUUAUUAUCACGCACGAAACAUAUUAAUCACAACAAAACAAUCACAAGAAAACACAACGAUAUGCAUGAUACUCUACUUCAUAAUUUGGUACCAUUAUAAGUCUAAAGAACUUGGUUAUAAGGCUUGAUACUAAACCACCACCCGAGUGGACGGACAAUUCAAAUUGGACAUGUCCUCAUAGAUCCCCUCAACUAAACCCGAGACACACAGACACGACAAUCGAGAUAAACGUGUGUUAUAUGGUAGCUCCCGACAUUUGGAGUGCUACGUCGAAGUUACCUAGGAGUUCCCCACUGAAAUACCUCUAAAGUCUAAUAAUUUUGCCUUAAGGCUCAACAAAAGACCGUCACGGUCAAACUCUAAAGUCUAAUUUGUUUGAAACUUGAUCUAGAGAAUAACCAAAUUGUAGCUGAAAAUUUGCUAUGAUGAUACAAAAAAUAUGUCAAAUAUUUAAUAAGUGAUAUUACGAGCAGAAACAGAGUUGAAAUUAUGGAAGGAGGAAAAAAUAAUGGUUGGUGGAUCUUACCGACAUGAAUGACUCGAAACGGUGGUUAUGGAUAACAACAACCCUUAAAUUAAAAUUAACAACGCAUUAGCAUCUAACUUUAAUUAUGACAGGUUCAGAAUAAGAUGAACAACGAAUUCUAGAUUCAUCGAAAAACAUUUAAUUACCGUAACGCCGCCGCCGUCGGAUUUUUGUGAAUGUUGGUGAAACUGAAAAACAAAAGAUAUAGAACAAAGCUUUUCGUUGUUUCUCUGCACCAAUAAAGAGGCUAGAAAAUCUUCACGACAAUGUUGAUGGUGGAAAAUAAUAGGUCACAGUUUGGUUUCUCCUUCACAUGACAAAUAAAUGAGAGUGAUUUUGAUGAAGAUAACGAAUGGAGAAGGAGGAUAUUGGGUUACAAAGAU
Molecule: long non-coding RNA, 1002 nt
Filed under: Cicer arietinum (chickpea)
Lineage: Eukaryota; Viridiplantae; Streptophyta; Magnoliopsida; Fabales; Fabaceae
Description: long non-coding RNA (CARI_LNC000243)
Source: RNAcentral